This 497-nucleotide ribosomal RNA is filed under the name uncultured bacterium. RNAcentral's name for it is "partial 16S ribosomal RNA". It matches the Rfam family "Bacterial small subunit ribosomal RNA", at positions 28 to 507 of the family's 1533-position model. The record is from RNAcentral.
GACGAACGCUGGCGGCGUGCCUAACACAUGCAAGUCGAGCGAACAGACGAGGUCCUUGCUCCACUGACGUCAGCCGCGGACGGGUGAGUAACAUGAGGAUAACCCACCUAUAAGACUGGGAUAACUACGGGAAACCGGAGCUAAUACCGGACAAUAUAUUGAACCGCAUGGUUCAAUAGUGAAAGACGGUUUUGCUGUCACUUAUAGAUGGAUCCGCGCUGCAUUAGCUAGUUGGUAAGGUAACGGCUUACCAAGGCCGGCCUGCGUAGCCGACCUGAGAGGGUGAUCGGCCACAGUGGGGGUGAGACGCGGUCCAGAGUCCUACGGGAGGCAGCAGUAGGGAAUCGUCCGAAAUGGGCGGAAGCCUGACGGAGCAGCGCCGGGUGAGUGAUGAAACGCUGCGGGUCGUAAGACUCUGUUAGUAGGGUAGACCGAAUGUGUAAGUAACUAUGCACGUCGUGACGGUACCUGAACAAGAAGCCACGGCUAACUACGUG